This 481-nucleotide ribosomal RNA is filed under the name uncultured bacterium. Its description in RNAcentral is "partial 16S ribosomal RNA". It matches the Rfam family "Bacterial small subunit ribosomal RNA", at positions 28 to 507 of the family's 1533-position model. The record is from RNAcentral.
GAUGAACGCUGGCGGCGUGCUUAACACAUGCAAGUCGAACGAAACACCUUAUUUGAUUUUCUUCGGAACUGAAGAUUUGGUGAUUGAGUGGCGGACGGGUGAGUAACGCGUGGGUAACCUGCCCUGUACAGGGGGAUAACAGUCAGAAAUGACUGCUAAUACCGCAUAAGACCACAGCACCGCAUGGUGCAGGGGUAAAACCUCCGGUGGUACAGGAUGGACCCGCGUCUGAUUAGCUGGUUGGUGAGGUAACGGCUCACCAAGGCGACGAUCAGUAGCCGGCUUGAGAGAGUGAACGGCCACAUUGGGACUGAGACACGGCCCAAACUCCUACGGGAGGCAGCAGUGGGGAAUAUUGCACAAUGGGGGAAACCCUGAUGCAGCGACGCCGCGUGAGUGAAGAAGUAUUUCGGUAUGUAAAGCUCUAUCAGCAGGGAAGAAAAUGACGGUACCUGACUAAGAAGCCCCGGCUAACUACGUG